AACGGGUCAGCGAAUGUUCAACCU
RNAcentral lists this non-coding RNA (24 nucleotides) under Arabidopsis thaliana (thale cress). The record is from RNAcentral. Lineage: Eukaryota; Viridiplantae; Streptophyta; Magnoliopsida; Brassicales; Brassicaceae.